AUGUAUUUGGCAGGCUAUAUGAGAAAAUAUGGGGGUGUGAUCCAGGCAUUGAUAUAUAUUGUAAAGCUAUCCAGAUGCAUACCAAUCAUGACAAAACAAGAGCAGAAAAGUGGACUUUCAGUAAUGUGUUCAUCAGCCACAGUACGCCAUAGCUUUUUUUGUUAUUGAAUUGGAUAGCAAAGUAUGGGAGCUGUUACGUGAUGACCCUAAAAGUAUGCUAAAAUAAUACAUCAUACAUUAACAUUUCCUGACAAAGCACUUGUUAAAUAUUCCCAACUCCCAAGAAAGCCAUGGUCAGAAACAUUACAAAAUUUAAAAUAUUUUAUCAGAGCAGAAUUUCUUCAUCAAAAUUAAAAAGUCAGAAUGUGCCUGACUAGUAAAUUAAUCUUCUGUGUACCUCAAUUGUUAGUUGAGUAAAGAAUAUUGUUUGCUGAUAGUGAGGUAAUAAAUUGUUGUUGGUAGAAGCUGCUGAAGAAAUGUGAACGAAGAAAUACACGUUUAAAAACUUUGGCCAUUCUCUGAGAGGAUCAUAUAAAAUAAUUUAAUUGACAUUCAUAGUGAUUUAAAAAAAAAAAAACGAAUGAUUUUUGUGGCUUCCCUUGUCUCUUGAAAGGACUAAUAUUGUUAGGUUUCAGAGAGUCAACAGUAAGUCUCUGAGAAUUCACCUCCACGAAGUACUUUGGGGAAAACUAUGAACCCACCAUGUAUUAUUGAAUGAAUAGUGUAAGUACUAUACUUUACUUGUUCUUGUAUAUUCUCAAAUGCUCUCACUCAUUGUGAAAUCAUAUAUAUACACACACACACACACACACACAUAUAUACAUAUAUAAAUUAGUGCUUAAUGUGAAAUAUCAACAAUUAAUAUUUGAAUUACAAGUAAUGUUAAUUUGCCUUGUAUAACUCCGAUGAUGUCAAAAGCUAAAUCAAGUAGAGACACCUUCAUUCUCAUACAGACUUGCAUCAGGUAAAAUAUUCUGAGCCCAAAUUACAGUUCCAGCCGUGUUACUUGGAUUUCUCAUCAAAUGCCAAGGAAAUUUCUAUAUUUCAAAAUCUAUUUAAUAAAAGGAAAUGUGGACAUCUCUACCAAAUCUUCAAUUAGAAGUAAUUAUCUCAAAGAAAUGACAAGCAAUGCAUUAAAUGUUAAUCCAUAAGAAGUCUAUAGAUGUUUUCAAACUACUGAAUGUGCUCAAUUAAAAUCAUAUGCUUGUGGACUGAAAUAAUAGUACCUAUACAUGUGAAAAUGCACUUUUAAAGAUGAGAUACAUACAAUGUUACUAAAAAU
RNAcentral lists this long non-coding RNA (1282 nucleotides) under Callithrix jacchus (white-tufted-ear marmoset). RNAcentral's name for it is "lncRNA (ENSCJAG00000072630.1)". The record is from RNAcentral. Lineage: Eukaryota; Metazoa; Chordata; Mammalia; Primates; Cebidae.